GUGCCGUGAUGACGUACAGAGAAUGGUUUCGCAAUUAACGGAAUCCCCGUGACGAGCAACUCUCUUGGCUGUCUGAGCGC
Molecule: small nucleolar RNA, 80 nt
Filed under: Leptobrachium leishanense (Leishan spiny toad)
Lineage: Eukaryota; Metazoa; Chordata; Amphibia; Anura; Megophryidae
Description: Small nucleolar RNA SNORD53/SNORD92 (ENSLLEG00000012589.1)
Rfam family: Small nucleolar RNA SNORD53/SNORD92
About the family: U53 is a member of the C/D class of snoRNA which contain the C (UGAUGA) and D (CUGA) box motifs. Most of the members of the box C/D family function in directing site-specific 2'-O-methylation of substrate RNAs.
Source: Rfam by way of RNAcentral